CUCCCCACAGCCCGCCCUUCCACAGAGGGAGAAUUAUUUAUUUUUUUACUACUAGCUGGAUUUUAACCCUCUGCCUCCAAAUAUCAGCACAGCGGCUCUGCAAAAACCUGACAAGUAGGUUUUUUGGGGCCUUUUCGUAGUUUUGUGCGCAGAUUUUUGUGUCAGUUUGGAUCGUGGUGCUAUUUCUUCUAUUUGGCUGUUAUGUUUUCAUCUGCAUUGAUACCCAGAGUUUUAUAUUUUUCUGUGAAAGAAUUCGGUGGUGUUUAUUUUCAAUAUCUUCUAAUUUUUGUCGUCGUUUGGUCGAGUUUGUAUCUCGCCACGUGAUGGGCCUUCCUCCUGAAGCUGUGUGCGUAUGGGCGCCAUUCCUACUGGAGAUGUGGAUCCCGCGGGGAAAUAAGAGAGGAAGAGAGAAGCUGCUCAGAAUUUCACCCCCGGAUUCGGAACGUCUUCGGAAUCGCCUCUACUGCAGAAUAUCUGCUGCAUGACUGACUCAGACCUUGGCCGAUGGCACAGGGCUUUUGGCCAAUCAGAGAACCCCAUGGUCAGACAGACGGAUGGGCCUAGCAGUAAGUAACUUAUUGUAAGCUAUUUUAUAAUACAAUUUGUCAUAUAUCAUAUUGUAUAGAUUUGGAUUUGUUUAGUAUUUAUGACUGCCUCAUCUUAAUUUGAAACAGCAUUUUAGCAAGUGCAGGUGGCUAAAACACGCACACACACACACCACACACCGUACCUAAUCUUCAGAAUCCUUUGGGGCAUAAAAAGUCCUGCCUCUAGCCAACCACCGCUAUCUCUCUGCUGUGCCUGGAGCCGUUACAAAAUGGUGUCCGCUCUCUGCCUCCAGCUCCCUCCAGCUCCCUGCAGCUCUCUCAUCCAUUUUGUGUGUCUGUGCCAAAGUAGUCAGGUAGCAGGAUGAGAGAAGAGAGAGAGAAAGAGGAGAGAGAGGGAGUAAAAGUGAAGGGAUAGGGUCGGCUAGAAGGGUCGUAGAGAA
Molecule: long non-coding RNA, 988 nt
Organism: Coregonus clupeaformis (lake whitefish)
Lineage: Eukaryota; Metazoa; Chordata; Actinopteri; Salmoniformes; Salmonidae
Exons: 3
Source: RefSeq, a predicted model, not a curated record